UGGGCGUUUUUAUUUUUUUGGAGAACAGCUGGGCGCUUCUUUUUUUUUUUUACCGACAGCUCGGCGCUUUUGUUGCUCUUGUCGUCUCCUGCGCAGGGCGCAGCCUGGCUUUUAGCUCCGAGGAAAUGACCGACAUACCCACGGUGGCCUAUAUGGACUUUUUUAUUUACAACUUUUUUUUAGGGGUUUUUAUUUACAACUUUUUUUUUGAGAGGAUAUUUUUAUUUACAACUUGGCUGUCUUGCUUCGGCCUGGCUGGAAAACUACUCCAAGAGUAGGCCUGGUCCAAUUCCAGCCCGAUACACUAUGGUCU
Molecule: long non-coding RNA, 313 nt
Filed under: Brachypodium distachyon (stiff brome)
Lineage: Eukaryota; Viridiplantae; Streptophyta; Magnoliopsida; Poales; Poaceae
Description: long non-coding RNA (BDIS_LNC005093)
Source: RNAcentral